AUGAAGAACGUAGCGAAAUGCGAUACUUGGUGUGAAUUGCAGAAUCCCGUGAACCAUCGAGUCUUUGAACGCAAGUUGCGCCCGAAGCCAUUAGGCCGAGGGCACGCCUGCCUGGGCGUCACACGUCGUUGCCCCCCCAUCUACUCCUUCGGGAUUGCGGGGGGCGGAUGAUGGCCUCCCGUGCGCCUCGUCGCGCGGUUGGCAUAAAUACCAAGUCCUCGGCGACGCACGCCACGACAAUCGGUGGUUGCGAAACCUCGGUUGCCCGUCGUGUGCGGUCGUCGCGCAUCGAGGGCUCGAAAAAAUUGCCGGGCUCCGGCUCGGCUUUCAACGCGACCCCAGGUCAGGCGGGGUUACCCGCUGAAUUUAAGCAUAUCAAUAAGCGGAGGA
This 390-nucleotide unclassified non-coding RNA is filed under the name soil metagenome. Its description in RNAcentral is "partial contains 5.8S ribosomal RNA, internal transcribed spacer 2, and large subunit ribosomal RNA". The stretch from base 1 to 121 matches the Rfam family "5.8S ribosomal RNA", at positions 36 to 154 of the family's 154-position model. The record is from RNAcentral.